This 1207-nucleotide long non-coding RNA is filed under the name Triticum aestivum (bread wheat). RNAcentral's name for it is "long non-coding RNA (TAES_LNC003002)". The record is from RNAcentral. Lineage: Eukaryota; Viridiplantae; Streptophyta; Magnoliopsida; Poales; Poaceae.
CCCCGUGCAGCUCGCAUGCCGCCCCCGUGCAACUCACCUCCCGCGAGCAAACUCUCUCUGGCGAGUCCAUCUCGUGUCCGCACCACUUGUUGUGUCAGUUCGAUUACAUGGAUCGGUUUCAGUGCGAGAGCGCAGCAGCACUCCCAUGAAAGGACCUAGUGCGGUUCAUUAGCUUAUUCUAAAUUAUUGAAAAAUCCUGCAGUCCUGUUUCUAAUUAGUAACAAAACAGUUUGAGUGCAGUUUUUUGAUUAUUUUGCAGCAGCACUUCCAUUCAACCCGCAGGUCGUUUCCAACACAAAACGUGCAUUUUGGAUGCGCGUGGUGUUUUGUUUCACCUCGUGACAGAAUGCAACCCAGGUCGUCACUCGGUGCAGUCAACCUUGCCAUGCGAUGACGUACACCGACGUCUCCAAGCAGUUCUGACGACCAGCUCGCGUGAGCCCGCAACUCCCCGACUUCCUUUGUUGUGGGUCGUAUGAAUUACAGUGUGGCUCAGAUCAUACCAUGAAGUUUGGAGCAUGUGAACAUGCAGUGUAAAAUGGUGCAUUUUGUUUUUGAGGGGUUUAUGUAUAAAAAUUACAGGGACUUUAUUUGAAUGUUUUCAUAAAUUGCAGUUUGGAGUAUCUGCACAUGCAGUGCAGACGCUGCUUUUGUGUUUGUGGAUUUUUUUGUAUAAACAUUGUAGGGUCUCAUUUGUUUGCACCGAAACAUGGUGAUGUUCAGACAUGAGCAUGCAGUUUCGACCAUGUGGACAUGUAGUGCAAAAUGGUGUUUUCCGUGUUUGAUGAUUUUAUGUAUAAAAGUUAUAUGGACUCGUUCGAAAAUUGUUUACCAAAGAACUUCAUUUCGAAUUGUGUUGCGGCUCAUUUCCCUUGACCAUGUGGUUCGCUUCUUUGCACAUGGUAGUGAAGAAGGAAGUGAAGUGCAAAGAUGUGUUAAAUGAAAAAUGGUAGAGAAAUGACAAAAAAGUAAUGUCAUUCACUUACCAUUUGAUGCAGUGUUGUUUUCUAACUAAUGUCAUUUGAUGCAGUGUGGUUUUCUAAACUGAAGCAGUGCGGUCGGCUGUCUGAUGUUGUUCAUCUUGUAAGUGACCAUUUGAUGCAGUGCGGUUUUCUAACUGAAGCAGUGCGGUUCGAUGUCUGAUAUUGUUCAUCUUGUAAAUGAAAAGAAAAAAUGUUACUAAAACGAGAAAUAAAGUAAUGUGGUU